UUUCAACGAGUACUUGUUUCAAAUCAAUCUUAUGCCCAUUUCAAUAUGAAGUUUUGAUGUCGUCAUUGGUAUGGACUGGUUCAACCUUCACCAUGCCGAUAUACUUUGUCACGAAAGGGUCGUUCGCCUCAAUCUGCCAAACGGCGGAACUCUUGUCAUUUAUGGUGACAAACCUAGUACAAAUUUACAAAUCAUCUCCUGUAUUAAAUGUUGGUGCAUGUAAAUGCUCCACAAAUAAUGAGUGAUAGUUAGGUUAUAUUUUCCCUUUAUUUGUAUUGUUGGUGUAAAUACUCUCCCUCCUAUAUAAAGGGAGAGUUGGUCACUUAUUAGUUAGCUAGCUCAUUUUAUUUUCCAUAGUAAGUCAUUACUUUUCUACAAUGUAAUCUCUAGAGAGAGAAAGUGGUGGGUUCUCCCACCCAGGGAGAGUUUCUCUCCCACCAAGUUCUUAUGAAUAUUCUCUCUUUGUUCUUACUUCUUUUCUAUGAACUCAUCAUAUGUUCUUGAUAUUUUUGAUACACGAUUAAUCUCAAGAUUAUUUCUUCCGCACUCACCGUUCGUUAGAAAAAUGGGUCUCUACAAUUGGUAUCAAAGCCGUACCUUGAAGAUCUCACGAUUUGUUCAAGGGAACGACUCUCGUUCGGUGAUUAUCUUGUGAUUUUUCCGAGUUUCUGCAAGAAAAAUUUUUCGGGAUGCAAAUCGGAAUUUUUUUAUGAUGUUAUUUCUUGUUUGUAUCAUUUGGGUGAUUCUAUCUCAGCAAAAUAAAAAUGUUGCUGCUGCUGAUCGUUCUAUUAUUGCUGGAAAGAAUGAUGUUCUUCAUCUUCUUAUUAUUUUGUUGCUGUUGAAGAAAUGAAGAAAUUUGGUGAAGAAUUAUUUUUGUGGUCUCCAUAUUGUUGAAGAAAUUAUUCCAGGAGCUUCUUUAAUUCUUGGAUGAGAAGGCACAAAUUUAAUCAGCUUAUUUUUCAAGAGAAGUGGAUUUUUAUUUUUUUUCCAACAACUUUUCUUCACAAGAGGUAUCAGUUUCUAUUCUUCAAAAUUUUCCUAUUGUUAAUCUAAUGUUGAAGACCAUUUGGACGUAAAUUGUGUUUGUGAAAAGUACUUUGUCCUUUUAGCUCUUUUGGGUAAAGAGUAAUUCACUCUUAUUUGCCUUCCCAAGCAAAAAACCAUGUGGCUAUGACAAAUCCGACCACCUUUUGUCCCUAACAACCCCGUGCACACUCCUGUUUUUACCUUCCCAAGAAAUUAUUCCCUUCCUUUUAACCUUAAAAAAAUAAAUAAAUAAAUAAAUAAACAACUGAGUCUGCUGAGGAGUCAGCAGACCGCAACCUCCAUUCUUGUUCUGAACCACAGCCACGAGGCCUGCUGAUGAACCGCAGUCUCUACCCGCAAUGCCUCUUAGUAGCUUUGGACCAUAGUUAGCCUCUUGCGGAUGCUUCUCGGACCGUAGCGCGCCUACCGCUUACCAUCUUCAUACCGCAGCUCGCCAUCCAUGACCCUCCCAUCUGACUUCAAUUCGGACCAGUCUACUUCAGGGACCCGCAAUGGCUUCGUGUCUCGCCCCACAAUUGCCUACCCUUUACCUGCAGCCUAGACUCGUCCGCACCUAACUACUCCAUCCGCACCCAACCCUCACCCAUCCGCACCCAGCCCCCUCUGAUGCGUACCCAACUUAACCCGCAACCACCUUAUUCUUGACAUCGGAUUCCAUCAGCUCCUCCCUCCUCCAGUGCCCCCCCCCUUCUCCUUCCUUCUUCUUCCCUUCAGCCCUUCCCCCUUCCUCCCCUCUCUUCUCCUCCUCCCCUUUCCUUCCUCCUUCCACCUUUUCUUUCCUCCCCUUUUUUUUAAACCUUUUUUUUAGACUUCUUUUUAAUUCAGUUUUUUUUUACAUUAUUUUUUUAAUUACUUUAUUAUUUUUAGCCAAUUUUUUAUUUAGCCAAUUUUUUUUAACACCAAUUUUUUUAGCCAUUUUUUUAUUUAACCAAUUUAUUUUAUAUUAAAACCAAUUUUUAACACCAAAUUUUGCCACAACCGCACCUUUGGAUUGUCACAUUGGUUGAUUUCAUGACGGUUAUUAUUGGAAGAAUAUUCCUACCGCAGUCGGACUUCAUAUUAUCUUUGUGACGCUUGCACGGAAACGACGAUUGAUCACCAAAGUUUUUUCGCAUUCUUCACAUUAUGGGAUUUUAUGACUUGUUGCUUAUGAAUUUUGGUUGACGAAUCAUGUAUCUUGAGCAUGUGGACUUUAUUCUCUAUUGAAGACCACCUCAAGUGUUCCGGCACUGCAUUUUGGAUAUUUGGAUAUAUUUUUGGCACAACAGAUUUUCUCAGCACAGCUUCAGCAACUGUCACCCGCUUUCUCAUGACGACAAGAGUGUUUAUUUUACUCUUUCUCGUUUCUUAUCGAGACCCUUCAUACAUCUAAGGAGAGCUUCUCCUAGCUCUUGGUAUCCGACACUCUCCAUCCGAUGAUUUGUUGAUUUUUGAUAUCCGGUCAUUGGUUAUCAAAAAUAGGGAGAAAAUAUCAUCCGAAUUUGGUUAUUAUUGUUUGAGUUUGGAUUUUUGAAGACUUCUAAAGAUGAUUAGUUAUUUAGUGAUGCGAUGUGGAACUUAUUUUUGGUCUUCACGGAUAAAAUUUUUAGCAUUACUCGAUGUUUUCCGAUUCGGAUUAUUUAUUAUUCGGACUGUACCACAGGAUGAUUUUGUGUUCGCAUCCGGUUCCGAUCUUAUGGUUUCAUGAGUUUGGAUUUGUGAUAUGUUGAAGACGAAGAUUAUUUUGGUAAUGUGAUGUGGCACUUAUUUUUGGUCCUUGGAUCAAAUUUUAGGGCAUUGCUAGACCAUGUUUUUGGACUCACAUUAUUUUUAUCCGGACUUCAUGUUAUGGAUGCUUCACAUUUUUAGUAGGUUAUUCUUUGAAGAAUUUCGGUGUAUUAUGAUUCGAGAACUCGAGAUGUUUUUCAGACUUUUGAAGAUGAAGUGUUUCACUUAUUGGAUCUUCUACUUGCCUAUGGUGACCUCCUUCUUCGGGUGAUUAUGAUUGGUUUGAAGAUUUGGAUCUUAUCUUUUCUGCUUCAUUGGUUGUGCUUUGAAGCCGAAGACCUUCAUUUCAGAGAUUCAUGGCCAGUUUCAGACUUCAAAGACACUUUAGAGUUUCAGAGACAUUUCAGCGCUUGAGUUCAUUUAAUUACCACACUUGCUAGUCAAAUUACUGUAUUAUAGCCUUGUAUCACUUAUUGUAUCUCUCAUCAUUUGUAAUCAUUUAGGGAGAGAAUGUUGGUGCAUGUAAAUGCUCCACAAAUAAUGAGUGAUAGUUAGGUUAUAUUUUCCCUUUAUUUGUAUUGUUGGUGUAAAUACUCUCCCUCCUAUAUAAAGAGAGAGUUAGUCACUUAUUAGUUAGCUAGCUCGUUUUCUUUUCCUUAGUAAGUCAUUACUUUUCUACAAUGUAAUCUCUAGAGAGAGAAAGUGGUGGGUUCUCCCACCCAGGGAGAGUUUCUC
Molecule: long non-coding RNA, 3489 nt
Filed under: Lactuca sativa (garden lettuce)
Lineage: Eukaryota; Viridiplantae; Streptophyta; Magnoliopsida; Asterales; Asteraceae
Description: long non-coding RNA (LSAT_LNC004429)
Source: RNAcentral